RNAcentral lists this ribosomal RNA (710 nucleotides) under Robiginitalea sp. Its description in RNAcentral is "bacterial SSU rRNA". It matches the Rfam family "Bacterial small subunit ribosomal RNA", at positions 38 to 740 of the family's 1533-position model. The record is from RNAcentral. Lineage: Bacteria; Pseudomonadati; Bacteroidota; Flavobacteriia; Flavobacteriales; Flavobacteriaceae.
GGGAUUCGGCAGCUACACAUGCAGUCGAACGGUAACAGGGAUUGCUUGCAAUCCGCUGACGAGUGGCGCACGGGUGCGUAACGCGUAUGGAACCUACCCUUUACUGGGGGAUAGCCCGGAGAAAUUCGGAUUAAUACCCCGUAGUAUUGCUUAGUGGCAUCACUUGAGCAAUUAAAGCUUCGGCGGUAGAGGAUGGCCAUGCGUCCUAUUAGCUUGAUGGUGAGGUAACGGCUCACCAUUGCUACGAUAGGUAGGGGCCCUGAGAGGGGGAUCCCCCACACUGGUACUGAGACACGGACCAGACUCCUACGGGAGGCAGCAGUGAGGAAUAUUGGACAAUGGUCGAAAGACUGAUCCAGCCAUGCCGCGUGCAGGAAGACGGCCCUACGGGUUGUAAACUGCUUUUUUACGGGAAGAAUAAUGCCCACGUGUGGGCAGAUGACGGUACCGUACGAAUAAGGACCGGCUAACUCCGUGCCAGCAGCCGCGGUAAUACGGAGGGUCCGAGCGUUAUCCGGAAUCAUUGGGUUUAAAGGGUCCGCAGGCGGGCCAGUAAGUCAGGGGUGAAAGUUUGCGGCUCAACCGUAAAAUUGCCUUUGAUACUGCUGGUCUUGAGUUGUGGUGAAGUGGCCGGAAUAUGUGGUGUAGCGGUGAAAUGCAUAGAUAUCACAUAGAACACCGAUUGCGAAGGCAGGUCACUAACCACACAC